RNAcentral lists this ribosomal RNA (630 nucleotides) under uncultured Pseudomonadota bacterium. Its description in RNAcentral is "bacterial SSU rRNA". It matches the Rfam family "Bacterial small subunit ribosomal RNA", at positions 60 to 683 of the family's 1533-position model. Lineage: Bacteria; Pseudomonadati; Pseudomonadota. The record is from RNAcentral.
AGUCGUGCGAGACUUAGGGGCUUGCUCCUAAGAAAAGCGGCGCACGGGUGAGUAACGCGUGGGUAACGUACCCAAGGGUUGAGGAUAACCUGCCGAAAGGCGGGCUAAUACUCAAUAUCUUUAUAGGAAGCGAGCUUCUUAUAGAGAAAGCUAGCAAUGGCGCCCAUGGAUCGGCCCGCGUCCUAUCAGCUAGUUGGUGAGGUAAUGGCUUACCAAGGCUAUGACGGGUAACUGGUCUGAGAGGACGACCAGUCACACUGGGACUGAGACACGGCCCAGACUCCUACGGGAGGCAGCAGUGGGGAAUAUUGGACAAUGGGCGAAAGCCUGAUCCAGCAAUGCCGCGUGGGUGAUGAAGGCCUUCGGGUUGUAAAGCCCUGUCGGCGGGAACGAAAAAAUCGGUGUUGAGCCGAUCUUGACGGUACCCGCAAAGGAAGCACCGGCUAACUCUGUGCCAGCAGCCGCGGUAAUACAGAGGGUGCAAGCGUUGUUCGGAAUUACUGGGCGUAAAGCGCAUGUAGGCGGUCUAGUUAGUCAGAUGUGAAAUCCCUGGGCUUAACCCAGGAACCGCAUCUGAUACUGCUAGACUUGAGUGUCGGAGGGGAUGGCGGAAUUCCCGGUGUAGAGGUG